RNAcentral lists this long non-coding RNA (406 nucleotides) under Gopherus evgoodei (Goodes thornscrub tortoise). RNAcentral's name for it is "lncRNA (ENSGEVG00005010361.1)". Lineage: Eukaryota; Metazoa; Chordata; Testudines; Testudinidae. The record is from RNAcentral.
CGGCCGGCAGCUGAGCGGGGGAAACCCCUGCCUGGGAGCGGCGCGGGGCGCGGAUGCGGCCAGGCGCGGGGGGCCAAUGGCCGGGCCGGGGGCGAGAAGGCGCCGCGUGGCCGAGCAUCCCCCAGUGGUUACCUGCCAGCUCCAGCCUCCGCUCCGGGCUGCAGCGCAGGGGGCUGGAGGUGCCCCAGAGCAGUUUCCACUGCAAGAGUUAGAGGGUGGCAGCCCAAUUACCGGGCAGGCAAAGGAUGAAAUUCCUGGAUGCAGCUCUGCCGUUAAUCACUAGCCUCUUUCCAGUUAACGCCUGAUUUCAGAUUCCCCUUUUUCUCAGAAGCCCUUCUCUUCAGGCUGGGUCUCUCGCCAAGUGACUGGUAUGUCCCUGACAGGGGAGCCAAAAAUUAAUAAUGAA